AAUAUAAAAUUAAUUUCUUCUGUUUCUUUUUCUUUUGUUUUGUUUUAAAUUUGUUCCCUAGGUCUGUUUUGUGGAAAGGAAAGGAGUGGCUCUACUGAACAUCUGUAAUACCCAGCUGCACAUUGGCAUUUGGCAAUGAAGAAACCAAAGUCACUGCUUGGAAGUAUGUCUAAGUCAAUGCCUAGUAUCUUAUGAACUCAGCCUCCUUACCAGCUGCCCCACAGAUAUUUGGAUCAAGGUUAAAUGUGCACACUGACAGGCCUUCUCCUGUCCUGGAAGAACUCUUAACCAAUACAGCCACAGAUAGGAAUCCCAGCUCCACCAGUUGUUUACAGAAAAAUAAAACCACAGAAUUAUUCCUGUUACCUGGGUUGAAGAUCCUAAUAACUAAAUAAUUUGAAGACCUAAUAACUAAAUAAUUUGGAUAAGGUAGAGUAAUUUCAAAUAAGUAGUACAUGACGUUUUAAUGUCUGGCUUCUCUAUAAAGCAUAAAUAGAUUUUAGAUGCCUUAUAUCUGUGUAUUCCAGCUGACCAAAACAAUAUUAAGAAUGCAUCUUUAUAAAUGGGUGCUAAUUCAUAAUGGAAAUAAUUUAGAAAUGGACUAUAUAGGAUGUUAAUAAUGAGCCAUAUGUUUAUGUCUGGAUUUAGAAAUUUUAAACAAUCAUUUACUAUGUCAUUUUUCCUUACCUUGAAGAACACAAACUGUUGUUUCAGUUCUACAAAUCAGCAAGAUAUUAUUUAUGGCAAGAAAUAUUCCGUUGAAAUGUUGUGCUAUAAGAUGGGAAAAUGUAAAUAUUUUUC
This is a long non-coding RNA of Pan troglodytes (chimpanzee), 801 nucleotides long. Lineage: Eukaryota; Metazoa; Chordata; Mammalia; Primates; Hominidae. The record is from Ensembl.